GAUGAACGCUGGCGGCGUGCCUAAUACAUGCAAGUCGAGCGAACAGACGAGGAGCUUGCUCCUCUGACGUUAGCGGCGGACGGGUGAGUAACACGUGGAUAACCUACCUAUAAGACUGGGAUAACUUCGGGAAACCGGAGCUAACACCGGAUAAUAUAUUGAACCGCAUGGUUCAAUAGUGAAAGACGGUUUUGCUGUCACUUAUAGAUGGAUCCGCGCCGCAUUAGCUAGUUGGUAAGGUAACGGCUUACCAAGGCAACGAUGCGUAGCCGACCUGAGAGGGUGAUCGGCCACACUGGAACUGAGACACGGUCCAGACUCCUACGGGAGGCAGCAGUAGGGAAUAUUCCGCAAUGGGCGAAAGCCUGACGGAGCCACGCCGCGUGAGUGAUGAAGGUCUUCGGAUCGUAAAACUCUGUUAUUAGGGAAGAACAAAUGUGUAAGUAACUAUGCACGUCUUGACGGUACCUAAUCAGAAAGCCACGGCUAACUACGUG
RNAcentral lists this ribosomal RNA (497 nucleotides) under uncultured bacterium. RNAcentral describes it as "partial 16S ribosomal RNA". It matches the Rfam family "Bacterial small subunit ribosomal RNA", at positions 28 to 507 of the family's 1533-position model. The record is from RNAcentral.